AGAGUUCGAUCCUGGCUCAGGAGAACGCUGGCGGCAUGCUUAACACAUCAAUCGAACGGGAAGUUGGUGUUUUUUUUGUUUCCAGUGUCGAACGGGUGAGUACCGCGUAAGACCUGCCCUUGGGAGGGGAACAACACCUGGAAACGAACGGUUGCUAAUACCCCGUAAGGCGGAGGAGCAAAAGAGAAAUCCGCCCAAGGAGGGGCUCGCGUCAUUAUCUAGUUGGUGAGGCAAUAGCAGCUUUACCAAGGCGAUGAUCAUUACUGUCCUAGAGGAUGAUCACCACACUGGGACUGAGAACCCGCCCAGAAUCCUACGGAGGCAAAGUGGGGAAUGUCCGCAAUGGGCGAAAGCCUGACGGAGUAAUGCCGCGUGGAGGUGGAAGGCUACGGUCGUCAACUUCUUUUCUCGGAGAAGAAACAUUAACGGUAUCGAGUAAUAAGCAUCGGCUAACUCUGUCCAGCAGCCGCGGUAAGACAGAGGAUGCAAGCGUUAUCCGGAAUGAUUGGGCGUAAAGCGUCUGUAGGUGGCUUUUCAAGUCCGCCGUCAAUCCCAGGGCUCACCCUGGACAGCGGGUGGAAACUACCAAGCUGGAGUACGGUAGGUGCAGAUGGAAUUUCCCGGUGGUGAGCGGUGAAAUGCAUUGAGAUCGGAAAGAACACCAACGGCGAAGCACUCUGCUGGGCCGACACUGACACUGAGAGACGAAGCUAGGGGAGCAAUGGGAUUAAGAAAACCCCAGGUCCUACCGUAAACGAUGGAUCUAGGUGCUGUGCGACUCGACCCGUGCAGGUCUGUAGCUAACGCGUUAAGUAUCCCAUCCCGUCCUGGGGAGUACGUUCGCAAGAAUGAAACUCAAAGGAAUUGACGGGGGGCCCCUCACAAGCGGUGGAGGCAUGUGGUUUAAUCGAUGCAAGCGAAGAAAACCUUACCAUGGCUUUACUGCCCGAUCCUCUUGAAGAGAGGGGUGCCCCCCUCGGGAACGCGACACAGGUGGUGGUGCAUGGCUGUCGCAGCUCGGCCGUAAGGUGUUGGGUUAAGUCUCUCAACGAGCGCAAACCCUCCGUGUUUAGUUCACUAAUGAGUUUGGACCCUGACGACCGCCGGUGUUAAGCCGAGAGGAAGGAGAGGAUGAGGCCAAGUCAUCAUUGCCCCUUAUGUCCCUGGGCGACACAUCAAACGUGCUACAAUGGGCGGGACAAAGGGUCGGCGAAUCUCGCGAGGGUGCACGCUAACUCCAAAACCCCUUCUCAGUUUCGGAUUGGCAGGCUGCACUCUCCUGCAUGAAGCAGGAAUCGCUAGUAACGCCGGUCAGCCAGACGGCGGUGAUCCGGUUUCCCGGCCUUGUCACACCGCCGCGUCACACUAUAGGAGCUGGCCAGGUUUGAAGUCAUUACCCUUACCGUAAGGAGGGGGAUGCCUAUUGCUAGGCUUGCGACUGGAGUGAAGUCGUAACAAGGUAGCCGUACUGGACGGGGCGGGCUG
Molecule: ribosomal RNA, 1485 nt
Filed under: Saccharum spontaneum (wild sugarcane)
Lineage: Eukaryota; Viridiplantae; Streptophyta; Magnoliopsida; Poales; Poaceae
Description: bacterial SSU rRNA
Rfam family: Bacterial small subunit ribosomal RNA
Source: RNAcentral